AUUGAACGCUGGCGGCAGGCCUAACACAUGCAAGUCGAGCGGAUGAAGGGAGCUUGCUCCUGGAUUCAGCGGCGGACGGGUGAGUAAUGCCUAGGAAUCUGCCUGGUAGUGGGGGAUAACGUCCGGAAACGGGCGCUAAUACCGCAUACGUCCUGAGGGAGAAAGUGGGGGAUCUUCGGACCUCACGCUAUCAGAUGAGCCUAGGUCGGAUUAGCUAGUUGGUGGGGUAAAGGCCUACCAAGGCGACGAUCCGUAACUGGUCUGAGAGGAUGAUCAGUCACACUGGAACUGAGACACGGUCCAGACUCCUACGGGAGGCAGCAGUGGGGAAUAUUGGACAAUGGGCGAAAGCCUGAUCCAGCCAUGCCGCGUGUGUGAAGAAGGUCUUCGGAUUGUAAAGCACUUUAAGUUGGGAGGAAGGGCAGUAAGUUAAUACCUUGCUGUUUUGACGUUACCAACAGAAUAAGCACCGGCUAACUUCGUGCCAGCAGCCGCGGUAAUACGAAGGGUGCAAGCGUCAAUCGGAAUUACUGGGCGUAAAGCGCGCGUAGGUGGUUCAGCAAGUUGGAUGUGAAAUCCCCGGGCUCAACCUGGGAACUGCAUCCAAAACUACUGAGCUAGAGUACGGUAGAGGGUGGUGGAAUUUCCUGUGUAGCGGUGAAAUGCGUAGAUAUAGGAAGGAACACCAGUGGCGAAGGCGACCACCUGGACUGAUACUGACACUGAGGUGCGAAAGCGUGGGGAGCAAACAGGAUUAGAUACCCUGGUAGUCCACGCCGUAAACGAUGUCGACUAGCCGUUGGGAUCCUUGAGAUCUUAGUGGCGCAGCUAACGCGAUAAGUCGACCGCCUGGGGAGUACGGCCGCAAGGUUA
This 873-nucleotide ribosomal RNA is filed under the name uncultured Pseudomonadales bacterium. RNAcentral's name for it is "bacterial SSU rRNA". It matches the Rfam family "Bacterial small subunit ribosomal RNA", at positions 28 to 896 of the family's 1533-position model. Lineage: Bacteria; Pseudomonadati; Pseudomonadota; Gammaproteobacteria; Pseudomonadales. The record is from RNAcentral.